UCCGUAGGUGAACCUGCGGAAGGAUCAUUAAUGAAUUGAAAGGGAGUUGAUGCUGGCCAGGUCUCUGGCAUGUGCUCGCUUCCGACAAUCUUAUCCAUACACCUGUGCACACUGUGAGGGCAUGCAAGUGCCCUUAUUUACUACAUACACCUAAUAUGGAAAUCGCACGUGACUUGCGUCGUAUGGCGCUUAAAACUAAAAACAACUUUUAACAACGGAUCUCUUGGCUCUCGCAUCGAUGAAGAACGCAGCGAAAUGCGAUAAGUAAAUGUGAAUUGCAGAAUUCAGUGAAUCAUCGAAUCUUUGAACGCACCUUGCGCUCCUUGGUAUUCCGAGGAGCACGCCUGUUCGAGUGUCGUGAAACUCUCAAGCUAGAUGCUUUAGAGUGUCAUCUACUUGGUUAUUGGACUCUGCUGUCUCCUUGUCUGGAACGGCUGGUCUCAAAUGUAUUAGCUGGUCCUUGUUGUGGGAUUUGGUUCUACUCAGCGUGAUAAUCUAUGACCGCUGAGGACAUCUCUCGGGAUGGCCAAGCCUGCCUUGGGCUGCUUCUAACUCAUCAUCAUGAUAUUUUUCAACUUUGACCUCGAAUCAAGCGGGACUACCCGCUGAACUUAAGCAUAUCAAUAAGCGGAGGAAAAGAAACUAACAAGGAUUCCCCUAGUAACGGCGAGUGAAGCGGGAUGAGCUCAAAUUUAAAAU
This 699-nucleotide ribosomal RNA is filed under the name Sistotrema brinkmannii. Its description in RNAcentral is "eukaryotic LSU rRNA". The stretch from base 204 to 358 matches the Rfam family "5.8S ribosomal RNA". Lineage: Eukaryota; Fungi; Basidiomycota; Agaricomycetes; Cantharellales; Hydnaceae. The record is from RNAcentral.